RNAcentral lists this ribosomal RNA (268 nucleotides) under uncultured prokaryote. RNAcentral's name for it is "partial 16S ribosomal RNA". It matches the Rfam family "Bacterial small subunit ribosomal RNA", at positions 524 to 792 of the family's 1533-position model. The record is from RNAcentral.
UACGUAGGGGCAAGCGUUGUCCGGAUUUACUGGGCGUAAAGGGAGCGUAGGCGGACUUUUAAGUGAGAUGUGAAAUACCCGGGCUCAACUUGGGUGCUGCAUUUCAAACUGGAAGUCUAGAGUGCAGGAGAGGAGAAUGGAAUUCCUAGUGUAGCGGUGAAAUGCGUAGAGAUUAGGAAGAACACCAGUGGCGAAGGCGAUUCUCUGGACUGUAACUGACGCUGAGGCUCGAAAGCGUGGGGAGCAAACAGGAUUAGAUACCCUGGUA